AUUGAACGCUGGCGGCAUGCCUUACACAUGCAAGUCGAACGGCAGCACGGGGGCGAACCCUGGUGGCGAGUGGCGAACGGGUGAGUAAUACAUCGGAACGUGCCCAGUAGUGAGGGAUAGCCCGGCGAAAGCCGGAUUAAUACCGCAUGCGACCUACGGGUGAAAGCGGGGGAUCGCAAGACCUCGCGCUGUUGGAGCGGCCGAUGUCAGAUUAGGUUGUUGGUGGGGAAAGGCCUACCAAGCCGACGAUCUGUAGCUGGUCUGAGGGGACGACCAGCCACACUGGGACUGAGACACGGCCCAGACUCCUACGGGAGGCAGCAGUGGGGAAUUUUGGACAAUGGGGGCAACCCUGAUCC
This 359-nucleotide ribosomal RNA is filed under the name uncultured bacterium. RNAcentral describes it as "bacterial SSU rRNA". It matches the Rfam family "Bacterial small subunit ribosomal RNA", at positions 29 to 389 of the family's 1533-position model. The record is from RNAcentral.